This is a non-coding RNA of Ochotona princeps (American pika), 192 nucleotides long. NCBI's taxonomy places the organism in Eukaryota, Metazoa, Chordata, Mammalia, Lagomorpha, Ochotonidae. The record is from Rfam.
CUGCCUUACACAAUGGAUACACUUGGCGCCCCACCACACCUAAAGCCACACUUUGAAGGAUCUGCCAAGCUCACUUUUAAUCAUGAGAAAGAAAUUACCCACAUGGAGUCAGCAGAAAAUGAGAAAGUGGAGCUCGUGCUGCGAAUAAUCCUGCAAGUGCCAAGGGGCUAGUUGAGGAAUGGCUUCAUGAGG